This 606-nucleotide ribosomal RNA is filed under the name bacterium. RNAcentral's name for it is "bacterial SSU rRNA". It matches the Rfam family "Bacterial small subunit ribosomal RNA", at positions 34 to 690 of the family's 1533-position model. The record is from RNAcentral.
CAGUGGCGGCGGCUUACACAUGCAAGUCGAACGCCCCGCAAGGGGAGUGGCAGACGGGUGAGUAACGCGUGGGAAUCUACCUAGUUCUACGGAACAACAGUUGGAAACGACUGCUAAUACCGUAUACGCCCUACGGGGGAAAGAUUUAUCGGAAUUAGAUGAGCCCGCGUAAGAUUAGCUAGUUGGUGGGGUAAUGGCCUACCAAGGCGACGAUCUUUAGCUGGUCUGAGAGGAUGAUCAGCCACACUGGGACUGAGACACGGCCCAGACUCCUACGGGAGGCAGCAGUGGGGAAUAUUGGACAAUGGGCGCAAGCCUGAUCCAGCCAUGCCGCGUGAGUGAUGAAGGCCUUAGGGUUGUAAAGCUCUUUCAGUAGGGAAGAUAAUGACGGUACCUACAGAAGAAGCCCCGGCUAACUUCGUGCCAGCAGCCGCGGUAAUACGAAGGGGGCUAGCGUUGUUCGGAUUUACUGGGCGUAAAGCGCACGUAGGCGGAACGUUAAGUCAGAGGUGAAAUCCUGGAGCUCAACUCCAGAACUGCCUUUGAUACUGGCGAUCUAGAGUCCGGAAGAGGUGAGUGGAACUCCUAGUGUAGAGGUGGAAUUCG